CUACUAUAAACAACACUGUAAAAACAUGGAGUGGAAGUAUCAAAAGUUGAAUAUUUCCUUGUGGCUUUAGUUAUUCCUAGGCAUGUUUGGAGAUUUAAAUAUUUGGAUAUUCAAAUAUCAAAAAGCCAAAGACCUAAUAAAGAAGUUUCCUAUUCUACAUGUGACAUAUGUUUAUCACUUUUCCUGAUUUGCCAUUCUGAGGAAACAAUGGAGAAAGUAAAUGUUCCCCUGUUAUAUAGCAUUGCUGUGUACAUACGUAAGAUGUAUUUCAAAUUAAGGAGAAACCUCUGGGACUGGGUGUGGUGGCUCAUGCCUGUAAUCCCAGCACUCUGGAAAGUCAGGGUAGGAGGAUCUCCUGAGGUUAGGAGUUUCAGACCAGCCUGGGCAACAUAGCAAGACCCUGUCUCUAUAAGAGAAAACAAAUUAGCCAGGUGUGGUGGUGCAUGCCUGUAGUCCUAGCUACUCAGGAGGCUGAGGUGGGAGGAUUGCUUGAACCCAGGAGUUUGAGGCUGCAGUGAGCUAUGUUUGUACCACUGUACUCCAGCCUGGGUGACAGAGCAAGACCUUGGCUCUAAGAGGGGGGGAUAAAAAAGGAGAAACCUCUGUAGAAGAUGCUACCAGCACCCACUUCACCCUGACCACUUGAGAGCCUGCCACCCUGCCUUCUAAGUGCCAGCCCCAGCAUUUCUUUGGCUGCUGAAGCCAGCAUUGUUUACCUAUGCAGCAGAUCAGCUGUGCAGAGGAUUAAUGUCAUAAGUGCAGUUCACCAGCAAUGGCUCACAGGAGUCUGGGGCUAGCUCCCACACCCCCUGGAACCUGCAUUUUCCCCCAUAUCCCGGAGUUUCUCCAGCAGGAUUACAUGCCAGUCACCCACAGCAGGAUCUGGCUUGGGAACAUUUCUUCCUCCACUGCCUUACCUUCCCUAUCUCCUUCCCUCAUCCCCUCCUCCUAUUAUUGGUCUUUCCUUCCCUUCCAACAUAAAUUCCCUGCACUCAAAUUCCUGCUCAGAGUCUGCUCCAAGGGAACCCAAGCUUAGACACCCUCCAAAGAGUGGAAGGAAAUCUUGUCCUAGGUUUUGACAAUAUUAUAUUUGUAAUAUGACUAGUUCUUGCUUUUCACAAAAACAAGGAAUAUUGCCUACUCUGCCCAUUGUGUCAACCAAUAUCAAGAAAUCCUUUGCUCCAUGAGGAUGCA
RNAcentral lists this long non-coding RNA (1194 nucleotides) under Homo sapiens (human). Its description in RNAcentral is "HSALNT0248921". The stretch from base 427 to 574 matches the Rfam family "Metazoan signal recognition particle RNA". The record is from RNAcentral. Lineage: Eukaryota; Metazoa; Chordata; Mammalia; Primates; Hominidae.